UGUCUUUCAUUUGUCGAGUAUCACCACAUUAUGAUCAGUUCACGCCAAUUCACUCAGUAUUUAUGGUAGUGCUCCUGUGAGAAUUCUGCUAAAUGUCACUCGUCUUGUGCAGCCUGAAGAGAAAUGGAUCCUGUGAUUACUAUAGUUCUGGUGGUGACAGCAGCAGUAGCAGCAGCAGUACAAGUUAGUGCCGUGGCCUGUAAUCUCUCRCACAAGAAUGGAACUCAUCAAUGCUAUGSGGCUCUGGGAGAAUCUUUGUCCWUACAGCUGGCUGCAGACAGCAGUAAUGAAGKAAUAACAUUGAAGAKAUGUGAUAAACGUAUUCUMKACUUCAAAACUGGAGAAGACUGGAGAURUAAAUUGCAUCAGGAUUAUGUGAAUCGCUCUGAGUUCUUUAACAAUGGAACAUUCASACUGGACAGAGUUAUAGAGGAAGACAGUGGAGAUUAUCAAUUGGAAACAUAUAAUUCAACAGGAAAAGUGUUGCGCAGAGUCAACAUGCUACUUGAGAUACAAGCCACGGUGUCAGAGCCAGUGUUGUCUCACCUCUGUCUGCCUCAUGGAGAGAUCGUGGUCACAUGCUCCUCAGAGGGAGAUGGUCUUCAGUACAGCUGGACCCUGAAUGGACAGAAUCUGACCAGGAGUGUAGCCUAUGUCCACUACCAGAGCAGUGUCAUCAUACUGAAGAGUGAUGUGACAGGAACCCUGACCUGUAUGGUUCAGKAUAAAGUUAGCAGCAGCAGCUCCACUAUUGAUCUCUCCUUGGCCUGCRCAGGUAAUCUCAGGACAGUUUCAUUCCCACCUUUUGAAUUAAGAGUACAACUCUGUUUCAUUUACAUGGUCAACAAGUGUUYUGUUCUGAUGUUUUCUUUCUAGUUGUCUCUUCCCAGUURCCUUCAGUAGCUGUGACAGUGUCUGUGGCUCUGACUGUUGGAACUCUCACACUACUUGCACUGUUUGUCGUUAUUAACCAUCUAUGCAAGAAACAAAGAUCCAGAUUUMAUACUUCAGAAAGCGUUGACGAGGUUGUUGUUUACGCUGAUGUGAAAAUAGGCCGGCAAAGAAAUCAGGCAAGGAAGCAGAGGCCCCCAGCCACAGAGACGGUGGAGUAUGGACAGAUCAAAAUGGCUGUAAACCCGGGUGUGGCAGGCUGCCCAUAGACUCAAGGCUAGACAUUUUACCACACGUAGCUUUGUAAAGCAGAUUUAAGACAAGGGUUGACUGAACAUUAUGUGGAUGCACUGAUUGAGUAGAUGAGACAGACCAUCAAACUUAAAGACUAGUGGCAAAUGAACACAACAAGAUGACAUCAUGCAUCAUGCAAGGAAUGCUAGGAAGAUGCACUGCAUGUCGUUUGUAGUUUGUUAACAUAAAUAACAAUCUCAUUUUCUAUCAUAUAUUGUACAAUGGUAUAAAAAGUGUUCAUUAUUUUGUAACUUUUCCUUAAAACCAUGAUAUCAAUGUAUCUCUAUUUCAAUGUUUGAAUGUAUCCUGACUAGAGUGCUGGCAAGUUAGAACGUGGCUCUAUUGCUGGAGAACACAUGUGAACAUUUCCUGUYAACUGAGCCGRGAUAUCAUARUGUAAAUGUAAUGCUUUCUUUCUUUUUAGGCAUCCAUGUAGUUUUACCAAUGUUUUUUUGAGUUCAAAUACUCAUUUAUAAUUGUUAUAUAAUAUAUUGUUAAUGAGGGGUUGUAAAUAAAUACAGGCAUUGCACAUCUUUUACAUUGUUUAAAGUAUUUAGGGCUAUUCAUGUAUGAUUUCUUACAUAUAUUGCUGCAGUGACAACAAAAACAUUGAUAUUGGUAAGAGAAUAAAAGAUAAGACACAACUCUAUGUAGUUGCAUAUUACAAAGGUACAAAGGAACUCAUCAUUUUAAGAUGUUCACUCCYCAAUGUACUGACUCUUGCAUGCUCUGUUAASGAGGUGUGAGGACCKCUGGUGAGACAUUAGAGAGCACCAUCAAUGUAAAAUAUUGGACAGCUGGAAUGUGUAACUUCAAGGUGAAACAAUAGUCUGUCCUUUUGAAUAUAAAAAGACCGCAAUGUCUCCCUCUGAAAAGAAACUCUACUUGUUUUUUCCUGAACGACACAAACAGACCAACAGACAGUCAAAGAGAGACCAUGAAAUAAAAAUGA
Salvelinus sp. IW2-2015 is the source of this 2137-nucleotide non-coding RNA. Lineage: Eukaryota; Metazoa; Chordata; Actinopteri; Salmoniformes; Salmonidae. The record is from RefSeq and is a predicted model, not a curated record.